CGCCCGGUGUCCUUUGUCUAAAUUGGUGCGUAAUCUUCAGCUGCAGGCAUUUUCCCAUGGGAUUCAGAGAAAGCACACUUCCACGAACGAUAUAUCAUCGAAGAGAUAUGUGAAAAGCACCUUGAGGAUUGAUUCUAAACCAUGUUUACCAUGUUUCAGUCGAUAUUAUGGAGUUAAUUUGGAAAAAUGUUCGGCGUUUUGAUGACUGAAUUUUCGUUUUUUUUUUGGUAGCCAAACGUGAUGUACAAAACGGAGCGAUUUCUCCUACACAAAGAAUAUUUUUGGACAAACUGAACAUUUGCUAUCUAACUGAGAGUCUCCUCAUUGAAAACAUCCGAAGUUCUUCAAAGGACCUGAGCCCUAGGACCAUGCCUCAGGACUACCUGGCAUGAUGAUUACUUGCUGUCUCCAGUCCACCUGCCCGUGCUGCUGAUCCAGUUUCAACUGUUCUGCCUGCGGCUAUGGAAUCCUGACCUGUUCACGGGAUGUGCUACCUGUCCCAGACCUAUUAUUUGACCAUGCUCGUCAUUUAUGAACAUUUGUACAUCGUGGUCAUGUUCUGUUAUAAUCUCCACCAAGCACAACCAGAAGAGGACUAGAUCACCCCUUAUAGCCUGGUUCCUCUCUAGGUUUCUUCCUAGGUUUUGGCCUUUCUAGGGAGUUUUUCCUAGCCAACGUGCUUCAACACCUGCAUUGCUUACUGUUUGGGGUUUUAGGUUGGGUUGCUGUACAGCAGUUUGAGAUAUCAGCUGAUGUACGAAGGGCUAUAUAAAUACAUUUGAUUUGAUUUUGAAAAUGCUGCCCCCUAUCCCAAAAGAGUUAACAAACCUCCAAGCGAGCUUCAAUGCCCUAAAACACUCCUUCCAUGGCCUCCAACUGCAUUAAAAUGCUAGUAAAACUAAAUGCAGGCUCUUCAACCGAUUGUUGCCCGCACCCGCCAGCCCGACUAGCAUCACAACGGUUCUGAAUUAGAAUAUGUGGACAACUACAAAUACCUAGGUGUUUGGUUAGACUCUAAACUCUCCUUCCAGACUCGCAUUAAGCAUCUCCAAUCCAAAAUGAAACCUAGAAUCGGCUUCCUAUUUCACAAAAAAAGCCUCCUUCGGUCAUGCUGCCAAACAUACUCUCAUAAAACUGACUAUCCUACUGAUCCUUGACUUUGGCGAUGUCAUUUCCAAAUAGCAUCCAACACUCUACUCAGCAAAUUGGAUGCGGUCUAUCACGGUGCCAUCCAUUUUGUCACCAAAGCCCCAUAUACUACCCACCACUGCGACCUUUAUGCUCUCGUUGGCAGGCCCUCGCUACAUAUUCAUUGCCAAACCCACUGGCUCCAGGUCAUCUAUAAGUCUUUGCUAGGUAAAGCCCUGCCUUAUUUCAGCUCACUGGUCACCAUAGCAACACCCACCCCUAGCACACGCUCCAGCAGGUAUAUUUCACUGCUCAUCCCCAACACCAACACCUACUUUGACCACCUUUCCUUCCUGUUCUCUGCUGCCAAUAACUCAAACAAAUUGCAAAAAUCACUGAAGCUGGAAACGUAUGUCUCUAUCUCUAACUUUAAGCAUCAGCUGUCAGAGCAGCUUACUGAUCACUGUACCUGUACACAGCCAAUCUGUACAUAGCACACCCAACUACCUCAUCCCCAUAUUGUUUUUUAUCUUUUUGCUAUUUUGCAUCCCAGUAUCUCUGCAUCUACCUCUCCAGUGACAAUGCUAAAUUCUAAUUAUUUCGCCUCUAUGUUUUCUAUUUCUGUGUGUUUGGCCGGGUGUGGUUCUCAAUCAGAGGCAGCUGUCUAUCGUGGUCUCUGAUUGAGAACCAUCCUUAGGUAGCCUUUUCCCACCUGUGUUUGUUGGUAGUUAUUUUCUGUUUUGUGUGUCUGCACCAGACAGAACUGUUUCAUUAGUUCAGCUUUGUUAUUUUUUGUUCUAGUGUUCAGUUUAAAAAAAAAUCAUGAACACGUACAACGCCACACCUUGGUCCUCUUCUUCAAACAGCCGUUACAGGUAUUGACUGUACUUUUGUUCAUGUGUAACUCUGUGUUGUUGUUUUUGUCGCUUUGCUUUAUGUUGGCCAGGUCGCAGUUGUAAAUGAGAACUCUCAACUGGCCUACCUGAUUAAAUAAAGGUGAAAUAAAUUAAAUUAAGG
Long non-coding RNA from Oncorhynchus tshawytscha (Chinook salmon), 2145 nucleotides. Lineage: Eukaryota; Metazoa; Chordata; Actinopteri; Salmoniformes; Salmonidae. The record is from Ensembl.